This 255-nucleotide ribosomal RNA is filed under the name Bacillus subtilis KCTC 1028 = ATCC 6051a. Its description in RNAcentral is "Bacillus subtilis KCTC 1028 partial 23S ribosomal RNA". It matches the Rfam family "Bacterial large subunit ribosomal RNA", at positions 140 to 387 of the family's 2925-position model. The record is from RNAcentral. Lineage: Bacteria; Bacillati; Bacillota; Bacilli; Caryophanales; Bacillaceae.
AUGGAGUGGUAUCCAUAUCUGAAUUCAUAGGAUAUGAGAAGGCAGACCCGGGGAACUGAAACAUCUAAGUACCCGGAGGAAGAGAAAGCAAAUGCGAUUCCCUGAGUAGCGGCGAGCGAAACGGGAUCAGCCCAAACCAAGAGGCUUGCCUCUUGGGGUUGUAGGACACUCUGUACGGAGUUACAAAGGAACGAGGUAGAUGAAGAGGUCUGGAAAGGCCCGCCAUAGGAGGUAACAGCCCUGUAGUCAAAACUU